AUGGAUCCGCGCUGCAUUAGCUAGUUGGUAAGGUAACGGCUUACCAAGGCAACGAUGCAUAGCCGACCUGAGAGGGUGAUCGGCCACACUGGAACUGAGACACGGUCCAGACUCCUACGGGAGGCAGCAGUAGGGAAUCUUCCGCAAUGGGCGAAAGCCUGACGGAGCAACGCCGCGUGAGUGAUGAAGGUCUUCGGAUCGUAAAACUCUGUUAUUAGGGAAGAACAUAUGUGUAAGUAACUGUGCACAUCUUGACGGUACCUAAUCAGAAAGCCACGGCUAACUACGUGCCAGCAGCCGCGGUAAUACGUAGGUGGCAAGCGUUAUCCGGAAUUAUUGGGCGUAAAGCGCGCGUAGGCGGUUUUUUAAGUCUGAUGUGAAAGCCCACGGCUCAACCGUGGAGGGUCAUUGGAAACUGGAAAACUUGAGUGCAGAAGAGGAAAGUGGAAUUCCAUGUGUAGCGGUGAAAUGCGCAGAGAUAUGGAGGAACACCAGUGGCGAAGGCGACUUUCUGGUCUGUAACUGACGCUGAUGUGCGAAAGCGUGGGGAUCAAACAGGAUUAGAUACCCUGGUAGUCCACGCCGUAAACGAUGAGUGCUAAGUGUUAGGGGGUUUCCGCCCCUUAGUGCUGCAGCUAACGCAUUAAGCA
RNAcentral lists this ribosomal RNA (650 nucleotides) under Staphylococcus aureus. RNAcentral describes it as "bacterial SSU rRNA". It matches the Rfam family "Bacterial small subunit ribosomal RNA", at positions 225 to 866 of the family's 1533-position model. The record is from RNAcentral. Lineage: Bacteria; Bacillati; Bacillota; Bacilli; Caryophanales; Staphylococcaceae.